UUCUAAUAAAUAAGGUCAGCUCAUAUGAACAUUCAAUCUAUGAGGAAAAGAAGGCCAUAACAUGAAGGAAGGAAAGAAAUACCACAUCUGCAUCAACUUGGCAUGUAUCCCACAACGACACAAAUGUUUAGUGUUGAGUAGUUUCUCUGUAAUCAUAACAGGGAAGAAAACAUAUCCUAGGCUGCAGUACAUAGCUACAUUUUAAUCGGUCAAGGGGAGACCUCUACCAAGGCAGAGCAAUCAGGAUAUAUUAAUUUUGUCAUUAUAAUACCUUAAAUAUUCCUAGGAAUUUGUAAAAGUGUCUGCUCCAAAACCAGUUUCCCAGAAUAUGAAAAAUGUUAAUUCAGGCAUUUUCCAACAUAAUAUUGAUUUGCAGCUCGGCUAAAGUUACACCCACUUCAGGAGAUGUUCCUUAUAGAGAGAUAUGAUAUCCAGGAUGCAAACCAAUCAAUCCUGCCAAGGACAUUUUUAAAUCCAAGCUGCAAACACGUUAAUAGGAGUUGGUGAAAUGGAAGUCAUUGGUCAUUAGUCAUUGGCCGAGUGAUCACCACUAAGCCCCUUUUUUAUCUGCUAAUUACUGGUGUCCAGCCUCAGUGGUCUUGCAGAGUCAGGAAGUCAAACCCAGUGGGAGCUCCGGAGAUGUCAAAGAGCUGGUCCCCUCGCAGGACAAACCAUCGGCUGUGCCACGUCUUGACGAAACCACCUUGCUUCCUGAGCCAGCCGCACCUGAUGACACCCUGCCUCCCCUGGCGGGCCUCCACGCCGGUCUGAAAGCCGCCAUGCUGGGGACUACCAUGGGACUGCUCGUCCAUCACGCUCUGCAUUUGCUGAGUGACUCCUGCUUAAAGUCUGCUGACAUCAGCUAUAAAGCCUCCUUGACUCUGGCUGAGCUGGGCUUGGUGAGAGUCCAAGGAAGCCACAGGUCCUGAUGAUGACCAGAUGCAGCAGCCCACCAGUGCUUCCAAAUUGCAGUGGAACAAGUGGAGCAAAUAAAAAGAUAAACGUAAAAAUAAUAAUAAAAGUGCGGCAAGGUUUGCUGCGGUGAUUGUCAAAUCUAAGCGUGACCUUAUUCCCACCUCAUGAAUUAUGGUAGCAUCCCACAUAUGGAGUAAAUGAAAACCAUGUAACUCUAUACUUUGUUCUAUUUAUCUGAAAAAAACAAGGAAAAUUAUUGUUUCUGCUAAAGAAAAAUAUAGAAAAAAAUAGAAUAUAUCUCACAUAUACAGCCAACAUGUACAAUAUCCCACAUAGUCACGAUAUGCAUUGAUGUUUAAAGAAAAGCCUGUUUGAAUUAUCAAAAAAUAUCUCAAAAUAUAAGUCACUGAUGGUGUAGAGGUACACUCGCCUAACGGGCAGCGUGGGUUCAGUUCCCACUCAGUGACGGUGUGAAUGGGAGUACGAAUGGUUGUCUAUGUCUCUAUGUGCCCUGCGACUGACUGGCGACCAGUUCAGGGUGUAGUCCGCCUUUCGCCCGAAGUCAGCUGGUAUAGGCUCCAGCGUCCCGUGAUCCUAACCAGGAUAAGCGGUGUUGAAAAUGGAUGGAUAUCUCAAAAUAUAUUGUUAUCCACAAAACAUUAAAAAUCAACCAUGUUAACCACUAUGCUACCAAUGACACAUUCAUAUUUUGUUCCACUUUGUGAAAAAGUACAAAUUCACCUUUUUUGUCCCCAUGUUUGUAAACACUGCAUUUUUCUAGUAUACAUACAGUCGCUGUCUAGUGAAAAGCCUGCCCCCCCAAAAACAUUUCUCAUUGUCCCCCAAAACUCUAAAAUGAAAUAAUUUGGGGGCGGAAUGUGGCCGAUUGGUUAGAGCGUCUACCUCUCAGUUCU
Phyllopteryx taeniolatus (common seadragon) is the source of this 1829-nucleotide long non-coding RNA. RefSeq lists it as uncharacterized. The transcript is spliced from 3 exons. Lineage: Eukaryota; Metazoa; Chordata; Actinopteri; Syngnathiformes; Syngnathidae. The record is from RefSeq and is a predicted model, not a curated record.